RNAcentral lists this ribosomal RNA (1202 nucleotides) under metagenome. RNAcentral's name for it is "bacterial SSU rRNA". It matches the Rfam family "Bacterial small subunit ribosomal RNA", at positions 324 to 1520 of the family's 1533-position model. The record is from RNAcentral.
UUGGGGUCCAGACUCCUACGGGAGGCAGCAGUGGGGAAUUUUGGACAAUGGGCGCAAGCCUGAUCCAGCCAUGCCGCGUGAGUGAAGAAGGCCUUCGGGUUGUAAAGCUCUUUCGGUGAAGACGAAACGGUUAGCGCUAAUAACGCUGACUAAUGACGGUACUCACAGAAGAAGCACCGGCUAACUACGUGCCAGCAGCCGCGGUAAUACGUAGGGUGCAGGCGUUAAUCGGAAUUACUGGGCGUAAAGCGUGCGCAGGCUGUUUGCUAAGACAGGUGUGAAAUCCCCGGGCUUAACCUGGGAAUUGCGCUUGUAACUGGCAAGCUAGAGUGUGGCAGAGGGGGGUGGAAUUCCACGUGUAGCAGUGAAAUGCGUAGAUAUGUGGAGGAACACCGAUGGCGAAGGCAGCCCCCUGGGUUAACACUGACUCUCAUGCACGAAAGCGUGGGGAGCAAACAGGAUUAGAUACCCUGGUAGUCCACGCCCUAAACUAUGUCAACUAGUUGUCGGGGAAGAAAUUCCUUGGUAACGAAGCUAACGCGUGAAGUUGACCGCCUGGGGAGUACGGCCGCAAGGUUAAAACUCAAAGGAAUUGACGGGGACCCGCACAAGCGGUGGAUUAUGUGGAUUAAUUCGAUGCAACGCGAAAAACCUUACCUACCCUUGACAUGCUAGGAAGCCCGCAGAGAUGUGGGUGUGCCCGAAAGGGAACCUAGACACAGGUGCUGCAUGGCUGUCGUCAGCUCGUGUCGUGAGAUGUUGGGUUAAGUCCCGCAACGAGCGCAACCCUUGCCAUUAGUUGCUACAUUCAGUUGGGCACUCUAAUGGGACCGCCGGUGACAAACCGGAGGAAGGUGGGGAUGACGUCAAGACCUCAUGGCCCUUAUGGGUAGGGCUUCACACGUAAUACAAUGGUCGGUACAGAGGGCUGCCAAUCCGCAAGGGGGAGCUAAUCCCAGAAAGCCGAUCGUAGUCCGGAUUGUAGUCUGCAACUCGACUGCAUGAAGCCGGAAUCGCUAGUAAUCGCGGAUCAGCAUGUCGCGGUGAAUACGUUCCCGGGUCUUGUACACACCGCCCGUCACACCAUGGGAGUGGGUUCCACCAGAAGUAGUUAGCCUAACCGCAAGGAGGGCGAUUACCACGGUGAGAUUCAUGACUGGGGUGAAGUCGUAACAAGGUAGCCGUAUCGGUAGGUGCGGCUG